Molecule: ribosomal RNA, 460 nt
Filed under: uncultured bacterium
Lineage: Bacteria
Description: partial 16S ribosomal RNA
Rfam family: Bacterial small subunit ribosomal RNA
Source: RNAcentral
CCUACGGUGGGCUGCAGUGAGGAAUAUUGGUCAAUGGACGAAAGUCUGAACCAGCCAAGUAGCGUGAAGGAUGACUGCCCUAUGGGUUGUAAACUUCUUUUAUAUGGGAAUAAAAUGUUCCACGUGUGGUGUUUUGUAUGUACCAUAUGAAUAAGGAUCGGCUAACUCCGUGCCAGCAGCCGCGGUAAUACGGAGGAUCCGAGCGUUAUCCGGAUUUAUUGGGUUUAAAGGGAGCGUAGGUGGGUUGUUAAGUCAGUUGUGAAAGUUUGCGGAUCAACCGUAUAAGUGCAGGUGAAACUGGCAGGCUUGAGUACAGGAGAGGUAGGCGGAAUUCGUGGUGUAGCGGUGAAAUGCUUAGAUAUCACGAAGAACUCCGAUUGCGAAGGCAGUUCACUGGACUGCAACUGACACUGAGGCUCGAAAGUGUGGGUAUCAAACAGGAUUAGAUACCCUGGUAGUC